This is a long non-coding RNA of Dama dama (fallow deer), 784 nucleotides long. RefSeq lists it as uncharacterized. The record is from RefSeq and is a predicted model, not a curated record. Lineage: Eukaryota; Metazoa; Chordata; Mammalia; Artiodactyla; Cervidae. The transcript has 5 exons.
CCUGGUGGGUUACAGCCCAUUGGAUUGCAAAAGAGUCAGACAUGACUGAGCAACUGAGCAGACAGAGCUACUGCCAGUAGGACCUCAUUGUAACUUGACUAUGCAGAGAUUCUAUUUCUGAAUGAAGUCAGCGUCUCAGCUUACUGCUGACUGUCUCAGGUGGCAAGAGGAAGUGGUAUUUGGACAAAAAUAAUUUAACCCUUUUGCUUUGAAGACUGAAAAGCUCAAGGUCACAGCACUGACAGGAAGAAAAUUGACAUGUUAGAAACCAGCAAUUCAUGGAAAGAGGGGAUCUUCCCAACCCAGGGAUCGAACCCAGGUCUCCCGAAUUGCAUGCGGAUUCUUUACCAGCUGAGCCACAAGGGAAUCACAAGGGAAGAUGUGAAUAGAAGGACAAUUAAGGGAGGAGGUUGGGACCUGCCCAGACUGCACAUUUCUUUUCUCGAAGUCAGGAGACCUCCCUGACCAAAUAUAUACAGAAAAAAGUUCCUUGGAAGUCAAAGGGAAGUUAUAUCAAGGGUAUUCCCUACCCAUAUGCCUUUUCAAUAAAAUCCAUCUUGGCUAAGAGAAACAAGUUCACACACGGGAGGAUCCUGAAAUAUAUCAAAUAUGGACUGUGAACCAGGCAAAUUGAAACAAUUAACCAAAGGAAACCCAGAAGAAAUGCUCCACAAAAGUGAUUCAAACUGCGAUGAGGAAGCAAUUCUGUAACUCUCUCUCCUUGAGUCCACCCAUGUGUUUAUCCACAUGUACUAUACGUUUUCCUUUUAAUAAAUAAUAAGAA